CAGUAGCCGCGGUAAUACAGAGGGUGCGAGCGUUAAUCGGAUUUACUGGGCGUAAAGCGUGCGUAGGCGGCUUUUUAAGUCGGAUGUGAAAUCCCUGAGCUUAACUUAGGAAUUGCAUUUGAUACUGGUAAGCUAGAUUAUGGGAGAGGAUGGUAGAAUUCCAGGUGUAGCGGUGAAAUGCGUAGAGAUCUGGAGGAAUACCGAUGGCGAAGGCAGCCAUCUGGCCUAAUACUGACGCUGAGGUACGAAAGCAUGGGGAGCAAACAGGAUUAGAUACCCGCGUAGUCCCUGUCUCUUAUAA
Molecule: ribosomal RNA, 301 nt
Filed under: uncultured bacterium
Lineage: Bacteria
Description: partial 16S ribosomal RNA
Rfam family: Bacterial small subunit ribosomal RNA
Source: RNAcentral